UUAAAUAAAUAAGGUCCAACUGAAAUAAUCGUUCAACCCAUUCUACUCUAUUAAAAUCGGCCCAAAUGAAACAAUAACCGGCCCAACAAUAUACAUAUGGAAUUUGGAAAUAGAAGUCUAUUAAUAAUAAUAUCUCAGCCCAAUUCUUAUAGAAUAAUUAAAGCCCAUCCUUUUAAAAUAAUUCGGCCCAAAAACAAUUACUAUAGGAGCCCAAAAUUAAACAAAACAGGAGCCCAAUUCAUACAAAAAUGCAGUUGGGUUUUAAAUAAAAGAAUCGGCCCAGAGAGUUAUAUAAUUCGGCCCAAAGUAAAAUAAAUCAAAGCCCAAUUUUCGGCCCAAUUACAAUUAAAAGGGAAAAGCCCAAAUUAAAUAAAUAACAAAGGCCCAUUAAACUAAAGCCCAAGAGCCCAACUCUCAUCUCCCUCAAAAUCGAUCUCUCUCCCUAUAGUCUCAAAAUCGGCUCCCUCUCUCUUUUCUCUCUCUCGUUCUCAGCCUCCAGCCGGCUCCGGCGCCUUCUCGUCGCCGGCGCGAGCCCCUGCUCUCCCAAAUCGGAAAUCACCGCCGCCUCCCUGAACUUUCGAUGAGCGGCGGUCGUUUCUUCUCCCAAAUCGGCUCAACAGUCAACACAACUCUCUUUUUUCUUUCCUCAAAAUCGGAACAUCUCUCUCUCUCGAUCUGUUUUCGGCGAGGGGUCCAGCGCCGCCGCCGCUGAUCACCACGCUGAGCCUCCGUUUGUCUGGACGUCCGCCGCCUCCGCAGCUCCGCCGCGAACGGCCCCGGCGAGGUUGAUGCCUCUAUUCCCCUAUCUCGAUCUUCCUCACGCACAGAUUCGCGGUCGACCUUAGUUUCCUCUCUAUUGAGUGAAACCGUCUCCGCCGCUGCUCUGAAAUUCCGGCGACGCCGCCGCCUUCAACGGCUCUGCCCUCUUUCCUCUAGUAACAUCAAGUGGAACUCAAAUCAGGGCCAAAAUCUCCUCGCUUUCUCGGUCUCAACGAAGACACACAAUUGGGGAGGAAAGUCGAGCCCCGGUUUCUCCGUCCGAAUCGCGGGUCUCCGCCCUUGUUCGACGCCGUCGCGUCCGCCUUGGCCAGAGAUCGCCGCGCCGCUGAAAUCUGUCCUCUGCUCAAGAACCGGGCUCAACCUCAUUCUGUCCCUUCUUCUUGGUUCAGGCAAGUCGCCUCUGUAACUUUGGUCAAAGUUGACGCCGCCCUUCGCCCAAAGGUCUCCGCAAAUUCCCGUCGUCACCGGGUUCUUUCCCGAUCUCGUCUGGCGAGCAGCAGAGCUCUGCCACUGUGGCCGGGGUCUCCUUCGCCGUACUGUGUUGUCGUCGGAGCUCCUUUGUCUCAACGAACAGGCAGUCAGCCUCCGACUGAUUCCGAAGUUCUCAUCGACGAAGGAGGAAUCAAGAACAGGAUGGUGAAAACUUAAGACCGGCUUACCUCUUCGAAGUUCCGGUAGAAGCUUUGCAAGCUCUAUCUCUUUCCCUCAAUUUUCUGGUGUCUAAGGGAGAAACAAAGGGUUGUUGGCUGAUAUAGAUGGGUGGAGGCGUAAAGUGGCUGCCUUGCGUGAAUUGGGGGCUGCAGAGGGGAAUGUUGCUGCUGUAGCAGCCCUUUUGCACACACGUUUUUUUUUCUUCCUACUCUCUCUUUUCCUUCUUUUCUUUUGAUAAAGUAGCUUUUCCUUUUUUUCUUAAAGUAGCAAAAGAUUGUAAAAGGUGAUAGGUUGCAAAGUGAUGUGAUUGAAUGAAAUAAAUCUUCUCUGUUGGUAAA
Salvia miltiorrhiza (redroot sage) is the source of this 1769-nucleotide long non-coding RNA. RefSeq lists it as uncharacterized. The record is from RefSeq and is a predicted model, not a curated record. The transcript has 2 exons. NCBI's taxonomy places the organism in Eukaryota, Viridiplantae, Streptophyta, Magnoliopsida, Lamiales, Lamiaceae.